GACGAACGCUGGCGGCGUGCUUAACACAUGCAAGUCGAACGGAAAGGCCCUGCUUUUGUGGGGUGCUCGAGUGGCGAACGGGUGAGUAACACGUGAGUAACCUGCCCUUGACUUUGGGAUAACGUCAGGAAACUGGGGCUAAUACCGGAUAGGAGCUCCUGCUGCAUGGGGGGGGUUGGAAAGUUUCGGCGGUAGGGGAUGGACUCGCGGCUUAUCAGCUUGUUGGUGGGGUAGUGGCUUACCAAGGCUUUGACGGGUAGCCGGCCUGAGAGGGUGGCCGGCGACAUUGGGCCUGAGAUACGGCGCAGUCGCCUACGGGAGGCAGCAGUGGGGAACAUUGCCCAAUGGGCGGAAGCCUGAUGCGGCAACGCCGCGUGCGGGAUGACGGCCUUCGGGUUGUGAACCGCUUUCGCCUGAGACGAAGCGUGAGUGACGGUAAUGGGUAAAGAAGCACCGGCUAACUACGUG
RNAcentral lists this ribosomal RNA (468 nucleotides) under uncultured bacterium. RNAcentral describes it as "partial 16S ribosomal RNA". It matches the Rfam family "Bacterial small subunit ribosomal RNA", at positions 28 to 507 of the family's 1533-position model. The record is from RNAcentral.